ACUGAACCUGCAUCUCUUAUGUCUCCUGCAUUGGCAGGCGGGUUCUUUACCACUGAGCCACCAGGGAAGUUCUAAAUCAACUAUACUUUAAAAAAGAGAGAGAAAAAGAAAAAGAGAGAAAUAAGUAAAUAGCAUGUCCUGUUCCCUAAAUAAAACUUCCAAAGAAGAGAAUGCUUGGUUUUCUUUUGCCUGAACAUCUUACACAAUGCCUGCAUGUGUGAUGAGACACUUAGAAAGGAUAUAAGAUUAGUUAGCCUACAGGGCAGCCACAUGUGCUCAUGAGAAAAAUGAGAGAGGGGAAAAGGUGUUGAAGCAGGAAUCCAGCCAUCACCCCUCUGCCUAUACACUCUUCUCCAAAGCUCCAAGCCCCUCCUCUUCGAAGAGCAGAUUGUACAAUAACUUUGUGCACUUGGCUUUGAGGGAUGGCGGUGGCAGGCAAGUGUUUUAAUGGAGAUGGGACUUGAGCUGUGUGAAAUUCAGGCUACAGUCCUACCCUGAUGACCCUUUCUUCCCACUUCAGCAGGGGAGCCUGUAGUUUUAGGUUCAUUGCUGAGGGGUCACAUUUGCCCACCAUCAAGCUUGGGAGAGGUCCCUGUCUCCGUGACUUCCCACACUCUGGCUUCAUUGAAAGCCACUAGGGUGGGUAAACAUUGACUCUGGAGUCAUCCCAGAGCUGGUGCGAAGGUGCAGGAAGCAGUUCUGGGCUGUCCAAUGCUGCCUACGUGCUGAUGGCUCUGGAGAGGGUGGUAACAAGGACAGAGCUGCUUCCUGGAACAAGGCGUAGAUAAGAGGUGGCUUGUUGUGCUUGAGUUUCCGUUGAACUUCACUGCGAGUUACAAAAUCCUAUGUCAUAACUACUGCACAUAGGAUUUGUUAGUAGUGACUUCCCCAAGAAGGACUCUGUGUGUAUAUAUAGAGAGAGGGGAAAGAGACAGAGAGGAGGAGAGAGAGAGAGAGACGGAGAGAAAGGGAGUGUAUGUGAGCAAGCAUGAGUUCCUUUUGAUAAUUAUUUUGGAAAAUGUUCAGAGAGGCCAAAAAUAAUGAGCAGAUCUUGGGAUCUUGGGGGUCUCUAUGCAGAGAGACACACACCCCCCAGCCCACCCUGUGCUGAGAAACAGCAACAGGUACUAUGUGGUGGCCAUGGGGUCCUCGAACCCGCCCUUCCAUGUGCUCACUGGGUGGGGCUUCUCAUCUUGGUUGUCAGACCUUCCACGCUGUACUGACCAACUAAAUCUGCAGCCUUCCUUGCAGGCUUUUUCUGGCUUGUAGGAGAAAAAUGGCAUUUAGAGCUAGGUUAUUCCAAAGGGUGGCGGGAACUAAGUCCACUGGAGGUUAAAAAUAGCCGGAGCCCAGCCAGCUUGGUCAAGCCUGCAGGCCUAGGGACCGCCCGCCAUCACCCUGGCCCUCCCUGGGUGCCACAUACCGACGCUAGUUCCAGGAGGUGCUCAGAGCCUGUUACUCAUAUGUCAGAUUCCCACUGUCGUGAUGUUAUUUCAUGCACCAACUGCGUUUUCACAGAAAAGCAGACUCUCAAGCUGAUGAGUCCUCCUCCCCACUUGAAGCUGGAGACAGGUUGCCCAUCUGGAAAACGGGGCCUGAGGGACCAGCUCUGUGCCCCUGGAGGGGCUUAUUGCAGGAUUUCAAGAAAUGAAAUUCACCUCAGAGAGUUACAACUCUGUUCCUCAGUUGACAGGCUAAGAAGAGCCACUCUCUUUACAAUCAAAUAAACACCUUGGUCACAUGGAUUUUGGAACCAGAUGGAUGGAAGUUAAACCUGCCUCUUCUACCAGUGGAUGGCUUGCUUGACAUCUGGAAGUUCUUGGUUUACAUACUACUGAAGCCUUGCUUGGAGAAUUUUGAGCAUUACUUUGCUAGCAUGUGAGGUGAGUGAAAUUGUGCAAACCUCCCUACACAGGGGAAUAGACCUUGCUGUCUUGAAGGGGAUCUGGGUGGUAUAUCACAGCUUGGAAAAGAAGCAGGAAGCUGCAUCACUGCAUCUCAGAUGCCCUAGCCUCUCCUGAUUGUGGCACCAAAGAAAGCCAUGCACACCCUGAGGAUGCACCCUCCAGUCUGCUGCACUUACGGACCUACACCUGACUCUCACAAGGCAUGAGAGUUCCAAGGGGCAACCUCUGAGGACACAAAGCAUAACAGAAAAUGGGUCUGAGAUCCAG
This is an RNA transcript of Bubalus bubalis (water buffalo), 2174 nucleotides long. It is a transcript of the gene named COX assembly mitochondrial protein 2 homolog, with no coding region annotated. The record is from RefSeq and is a predicted model, not a curated record. NCBI's taxonomy places the organism in Eukaryota, Metazoa, Chordata, Mammalia, Artiodactyla, Bovidae. The transcript has 4 exons.